Molecule: unclassified non-coding RNA, 487 nt
Filed under: Hevea brasiliensis (rubber tree)
Lineage: Eukaryota; Viridiplantae; Streptophyta; Magnoliopsida; Malpighiales; Euphorbiaceae
Source: RNAcentral
UUAGAAUUUUGCCUGGUUAGAAUUAGAAUGUUCACACCAUGGUGAUUUGCAAAUAAAUAAUAUUAUGUCAUGAAAUUCUACAUAUAAUCUACUUCUGUCCAAUGGUCUAGAAAGAAUUUUCAUGCCAAUUUGAAAUCAUAUGUAGCACCCAUGAAAUUACUCCCUGUAAGGAAGAUUGCUCUUGAAAAACACACAAGUAGACUUCCGUAAGAGUAUGGUCUCUUAUUUUGUUGGUUAUUUNNNNNNNNNNNNNGUAUAGCAGUAAAAACCCUUGUCAUCUCUGAAACAGGAUCCUUGUCAACACCUGAUUUCACACACCAAGCAAUGUGCUCAUCUGGCCUCACUAAAAUUGCUCCUUUGUCAGUCAUCUGACAAAUACUCCACCAUGAUGAUGGAUUUGAUGGUUUCCUAACCUCCACAACAUCUAUAUAGUUUUUCCAUGGUGUCAAUGCUUUCUUACUCCUUGCUUCAAAUUCAUCAAGAGAGU